UGGUGCAAAAGUAAUUGCGGUUUUUGCCAUUAAAUGUAUUUUUCAGCAAAAACUGCAGUUACUUUUGCACC
This 71-nucleotide microRNA precursor is filed under the name Cebus imitator (Panamanian white-faced capuchin). RNAcentral's name for it is "miRNA (ENSCCAG00000031224.1)". Lineage: Eukaryota; Metazoa; Chordata; Mammalia; Primates; Cebidae. The record is from RNAcentral.